Molecule: ribosomal RNA, 459 nt
Filed under: uncultured bacterium
Lineage: Bacteria
Description: partial 16S ribosomal RNA
Rfam family: Bacterial small subunit ribosomal RNA
Source: RNAcentral
CCUACGGGUGGCAGCAGUGAGGAAUAUUGGUCAAUGGGCGCGAGCCUGAACCAGCCAAGUCGCGUGAGGGACGACGGUACUAUGGAUUGUAAACCUCUUUUGUCGGGGAGCAAAAGACGCCACGCGUGGCGUUCCGAGAGUACCCGAAGAAAAAGCAUCGGCUAACUCCGUGCCAGCAGCCGCGGUAAUACGGAGGAGGCGAGCGUUAUACGGAUUUAUUGGGUUUAAAGGGUGCGCAGGCGGAAGUGCAAGUCAGCGGUAAAAUUGAGGGGCUCAAACUCUUCGUGCCGUUGAAACUGGUUUUCUUGAGUGAGCGAGAAGUAUGCGGAAUGCGUGGUGUAGCGGUGAAAUGCAUAGAGAUCACGCAGAACUCCGAUUGCGAAGGCAGCAUACCGGCGCUCAACUGACGCUCAUGCACGAAAGUGUGGGUAUCGAACAGGAUUAGAUACCCUUGUAGUC